Mustela putorius furo (domestic ferret) is the source of this 133-nucleotide non-coding RNA. The record is from Rfam. NCBI's taxonomy places the organism in Eukaryota, Metazoa, Chordata, Mammalia, Carnivora, Mustelidae.
AGCUUUGCGCAGUGGCAGUAUCGUAGCCAAUGAGGUUUAUCUGAGGCGCAAUUAUUGCUAAUUAAAAGGAAUUGUUACAAAUUUAGCUGGAAGUUUUAGUUUAAGGCAAAGCUUAAUCUAUCCAUAUCAAAGG